AGAAAGGUAUGCGCCCUUAUACAGAAUGAAAUAACUACUUUAUUAUACCAAUUGUAAACGCAUAAAAUCCGCAGUCUACUCAUUUCCAUGUUAAUGAUAAAUGGUUAUCCUUUAACGGUUCUUUCUAAUGGUGGGACAUUUCCAUUCACAGCCAAGCCUGCGUCCUGAUUAGAAUGUGAGUGUGCUGCAAAAAAAAACAACAACAAUAGAUUAAGCACAACAAAUUAUUAGAGUUUUCAAAUAUUAACAUAAUCUUCGCUAUUUGAAAAAUCGUGGCGUACGAAUAUACCUCUUCUUAAAAUUUAGGGACGUAAAAUAUGUUGAGAAGCACUGGCUUACGGUAAGUCGCGAAAUUGGGAAUCCGACUCGAUAUCGAGAGUGGUUGAGACGAUCGGCACGAUUCCAAAAAGCAGGCAAUCCCCGAUAAUCUCGAAAUAACGAGAACCUCGUCCCCUCUCUUGCAGCAUCCGCGAAGACGCGUCGCGGUUCUGUUUUCCGUCUUCGUCGCGCGAACGACGCGACAGUCGUCCCCUCUCCUUCUCACCCACGGCUACACGAUCGCCGAUAUUUUUGGUCGUGGCGCGACGAAGACGCGAAGAUAGUCGCGCGCGUGCGAGCAAAGGAGACGGUCGCUCGAGGGAAAAAGGACAGUCGAGAAUCGAGAAGGAGAAAGGAUACGCGGAUGCACGAGAAAGAAAAGGAUGGAACGACGAAACAAGGAGAGCGAGAGCAUCAUCGUGAAAACGGUUAGCGCCGUCGGCGUAACCUGAGAGCUUCUCGGACCCCGCGACCAUAUAUGUCCGCCUCUCGCUCUCUCUCGCUCGCGCCGAUCGCAAGCACAUCGCGCCAUCUUGCUUUCACCUACAGUUGGAAACUAAUCUUUUUGGCGGUCUCCUCGUUCGCUUUUUUUUUCAUCACGACGCCCUAUACGAUCCACCUCGACGCUGUUAAUUUACUGGGAAAUGAGUCAAAAUUCUGUCUGCCCCUGCUUCACGCCAAUCUCUACCAUUCUAAAGGAUUUAUAAACGAAAUGUAAUUGUAAAUCGUACAUCAACUUUGAUAAUCCAUAAAGGGACAACAUAUUUGAUGUAGUAAUAGCAGCGUAAAGAAUCUGAAACAGGCAUCGCAAACGAUUAACAAGGUUAAGUAACAUUCGAAUCGAAUUUUAGAAUGAAUAAUCAGCACGUUAUCUCAAACCACCUGAUGUUGAAGGUUAAACCGUUUAAAUUAAUUUAUGUUUCGAUUUUUGUAUGAACUCUGCUCUCGAUCGAUAAAUUAGGGACGACUAAAUGCUGCUAUGCGGCGCCACUUACUCGAUGGCGGAGUUGUAGUUCCUGUUCUCACCGUAAGAGCUGUUCCUAACCGACUCUACUUUAAAAAUUCUCGCGAAAUAAAUAUAAACCCGAGGACUCUCUCCACCUUAUAUUCAACUAUACAAAACUAUAGAAGUCUAAACCGAGACGACAGGAAUUUCCCUCAACCUAAAAAAAGAACUUCGUUCAUCCGACCUGUUGAAUGCUUGAGCAUACUUCGUCAUACUGGCUCCUGUUUAACGAGGUGACGAGAAAUAAAGGCAACAAACACGAGGAACACGAUGCAUUGGCCGGCCCGAUUCCUUCCAGGAGGGGGAUCCCCGUUAUCUGCAUAGGUAUUCAGCCGUGGACGCGACAGUGUCUUUUUGGCACGCUUUCUUCGAAAAAACGCUUCAACCCGAAGACACGGAAAUCGAAUAAGAGCGGAUAACGGACUUUUAAGAAUUCUUACAAAGUUUCCACUUUAAGAACGAUGGGAAGGUGCUGAAAAUUUACUGGAGUCGUAGAGGUAUUCCUUUGUUUAAAAUAUAUGGAGGUCGCAAUUUUGCUUAACACGUUGUUCGCCACGUCACCCAUAUAUGGGUGACAGAGCUUUUCACUGAAGAGCUCAAAAAAUUGAUUCCAAAAGGUGAGUAUCAAAGAAAACGAAUUUUAAUGAAAUUCUUGAAUUUCGAUAACGACGCGAAAAUAAAUACCACAAUAAAUGU
Molecule: long non-coding RNA, 2020 nt
Organism: Hylaeus volcanicus
Lineage: Eukaryota; Metazoa; Arthropoda; Insecta; Hymenoptera; Colletidae
Exons: 5
Source: RefSeq, a predicted model, not a curated record